This 253-nucleotide ribosomal RNA is filed under the name uncultured bacterium. Its description in RNAcentral is "partial 16S ribosomal RNA". It matches the Rfam family "Bacterial small subunit ribosomal RNA", at positions 524 to 776 of the family's 1533-position model. The record is from RNAcentral.
UACGUAGGGGGCAAGCGUUGUCCGGAUUUAUUGGGCGUAAAGAGCUCGUAGGCGGUUCGUCGCGUCGGCUGUGAAAACCCGGAGCUCAACUCCGGGCCUGCAGUCGAUACGGGCGGACUUGAGUGUUGCAGGGGAGACUGGAAUUCCUGGUGUAGCGGUGAAAUGCGCAGAUAUCAGGAGGAACACCGGUGGCGAAGGCGGGUCUCUGGGCAACUACUGACGCUGAGGAGCGAAAGCGUGGGGAGCGAACAGG